GAUGAAGAACGCAGCGAAAUGCGAUAAUUAAUGUGAAUUGCAGAAUUUAGUGAAUCAUCGAAUCUUUGAACGCACAUUGCGCCCCUUGGUAUUCCGGGGGGCAUGCCUGUUCGAGCGUCAUUUCAACCCUCAAGCUCUGCUUGGUCUUGGGCCGCGCCGGCAACGGCGGGCCUCAAAAACAGUGGCGGCGCCAUCUGGUCCCUCAGCGUAGUAAUUCUUCUCGCUGCUGGGCCCCGGUGGCCGCUUGCCAGCAACCCCAAACUUUCUAUGGUUGACCUCGGAUCGGGUAGGGAUACCCGCUGAACUUAAGCAUAUCAAUAAGCGGAGGA
Molecule: unclassified non-coding RNA, 329 nt
Filed under: soil metagenome
Description: partial contains 5.8S ribosomal RNA, internal transcribed spacer 2, and large subunit ribosomal RNA
Rfam family: 5.8S ribosomal RNA (bases 1-120)
Source: RNAcentral